Molecule: long non-coding RNA, 1197 nt
Organism: Aphidius gifuensis
Lineage: Eukaryota; Metazoa; Arthropoda; Insecta; Hymenoptera; Braconidae
Exons: 6
Source: RefSeq, a predicted model, not a curated record
UUGACGUGCUCCUGUUUUACAGUAAUUAUUUAACAAUAAAUUGCAACAAUUAAUUGUUAAUUUAUAAUAAAUCAGUUUAUUAACUCGCUGGCUACCAUUUGAGUGCAAAAUUAUGGCUAGAUGUCACGUAUUUUAGCUACAAAUUGAUAUUGUUUAAAGUGCCCGAAAGCGGCCGGGUCAUGAGAGGACGCCAUAGAAUUUUUCAUUAACAAAAUGACCGUAGAAUCGCCUGGAUAUUUCAAAAGUUGUCAAGCCUGGAUAGAUGCCAUGACAUUUACAACAAAACAUGACAACAGAUGUUAAAAAAAUCAAAAAAUAUUUGGAAAGAAUGACAUGACAUGACAAGCGACAAAAGUCUUGACUUUUCAUUAAACAAAAAGCGAUGUUCAUAAAUAUUUCAAAGUUGAACAAUUCUGAGUAUGGUUUGUCAUUUGAGCCAAAAUCAUUUUGGAGCGUAUUGCAUUAAAUUUAGUUGAGGGCAAAAAUACCUGUACAAUGUUCUAACAGGCCAAUAUAUAAUACUUGAUGAACAAUACCAAGCAAAUGAUUAUAGUGUUGAAAGUGUUAUUAGAUGCAUCAUUGUUCAUACUUUGUGUUAGCAAGUGUAUUUUAAAAAUUAAUCAAAUUGUUUAUAAACUAAUUGACAAUUUAACAAUCAUCAAAAAUCAUCCAGUUGAACCAGCAACAAGUAUCGAUACCAUCUACAUGAUAUGCUUAUGCUUCAAUAAUGAUGAAUCCCUGAUUAUGAAAAAACAUUACUUAAUUAUUUACAUGUUGCACGUACAAUUGAAUUUUAAUAAAUGGCUGUUGGUGUCAUUUAUUAUCAUGCUGUUAACUCUAAUGUAUCAUUCAUGUUGGUGGUAUUCAUGACUCUUCAUGACUUGUCAUCUCAUAUGAUUAAAUCUAUUUGUUACUGGAAGAAUAAUCAACAACAUCACAUGGUGCUGGUAUUAUUGACUCUCUCAUGUACCAGUUAUUGUUGUUGUUAUUGUUCAACAUUUGCUAAUGUUUAUUGAAAUUGUCUCUGAUAAAGUGUUAUAGUGAUGCUUAUAAAUAACAAUAUGAGACUAUGAGAGUUGAGAGCUGCUGUGAGCAUCAGAGAGCAUAAGAAUAUACUGCCUCUAGCAAAUGGCUUGCCUCUCCUCUAUUCAAGAGCUUGUAUACAUCAAAGAGCUCGCCGCUAUAGCAACUACGUGU